CAAAACCCUCAUUUCGAGCCUAAUGGGCUAAUAUCUUACACUUUAAAAAUAAAGUGAAAAGCCAGGAUAAUGUCACCAAGAGAUUUGACUGAAUUCCGCCUGAUGGUCCUGAGGUUCCUGCAGUUGAUUUUUCUGACUCCUCUGUUCUCUGAUGACCAGAGUUGAGAAGUUCUUACCCUGCCUGUCUGUGGGACUCACUUGAGGAGCCUCUAAAAAUCCUGAUGUCCAGAUUCUGGUCCAGCAAAACCCAGUUCUGGGGGUAGGGCCUGGGCAUCAGCAUUUUUUAUCUAUAGCUAUGUAAAGAAAGGGUUCCUCCAUAUUCUCACCUCACUUCCCAGAGUGGCUUCGUGCUCCUCAGCGGUUCUCUUCUGGCUUAUUCCUUCUCCAGAGCACCUGUUCCUUCAGGCCUUCUGGCAGACCAUGAAUCGCGAGUGGACGGGCAUUGACAGGCUGCGCCUGGAUAAAUUCUACAUGCUCAUGCGGAUGGUCCUGAACGAGUCCUUGAAGGUUCUGAAGAUGCGAGGCUGGGAAGAAAGACAGAUCGAGGAGCUGCUAGAGCUGCUGAUGACUGAGAUCCUGCACCCCAGCAGCCAGGCCCCCAACGGGGUGAAGAGCCACUUCAUCGAGAUCUUCCUGGAGGAGCUGGCCAAAGUGGGCGCCGAGGAGGUGAGGCUGGUCUCCGACGGGGCGGUGGAGCUGGGCGUUUGUGGAGGAGGAACUGAGCUCCCACUGGCUUUCCUCGUAGCUUACGGCAGACCAGAACCUAAAGUUCAUCGACCCCUUCUGCAGAAUCGCUGCCCGGACCAAGGAUUCCUUGGUUUUGAACAACAUCACUCGAGGCAUCUUUGAGACGAUUGUGGAGCAGGCCCCGCUUGCCAUUGAAGACCUGCUGAAUGAACUGGACACACAGGAUGAGGAGGUGGCGUCGGACAGUGAUGAGUCCUCUGAGGGCGGUGAGCGUGGAGAUGCGCUGUCCCAGAAGAGGUCUGAGAAGCCGCCCGCAGGCUCCAUCUGCAGGGCUGAACCUGAGGCUGGUGAGGAGCAGGCAGGUGACGACAGGGACAGUGGCGGCCCCGUCCUCCAGUUUGACUACGAGGCAGUUGCUAACAGACUGUUUGAAAUGGCCAGCCGCCAGAGCACCCCUUCUCAGAACAGAAAGCGUCUCUACAAAGUGAUCCGGAAGCUGCAGGACCUGGCAGGAGGCAUUUUCCCUGAAGAUGAGAUCCCAGAGAAGGCCUGCAGGCGUCUGCUUGAAGGGAGGCGGCAGAAGAAGACGAAGAAGCAGAAGCGUCUGCUCAGGUUGCAGCAGGAGAGAGGGAAAGGUGAGAAGGAGCCCCCGAGCCCGGGCAUGGAGAGGAAGAGGAGCAGGAGGAGGGGUGUAGGGGCCGACCCCGAGGCGCGGGCAGAGGCUGGUGAGCAGCCAGGCACAGCUGAGCGGGCCCUGCUCCGAGAUCAGCCCAGGGGCCGUGGCCAGAGAGGGGCUCGCCAGAGAAGGAGGACACCUCGGCCCCUGACCAGUGCCCGAGCAAAGGCGGCCAAUGUCCAGGAGCCGGAGAAGAAGAAGAAACGCAGGGAGUGACGUGGCCGGGCCCAGGACAGGCAGGGAGGGAGGCCAGGCCUCGCUUGCACCGAGGGACGAGGCCGACCGGGCUGUUCUGUAGACUCAGGACCGUGGCUCCAGAACUCCUGUGCCAGGCGGGAGGGAAGGGCGGCACUGGAGAGAGGGGCCCGUCAUUAGGGGCCGGCAUCCCAGGAACCGGACCUCUCCCCAGAGCCUCCGCCUGUGGCUGUGAUGACCUUGGGCCAGAAGGUCAAACUCCGCAGACUGAAACUCCGCCUGCAGCAGGACUGGCCGCCCCCGCUGUGGGGGGUGCAGAAAAUAAAAUGCCGCGCAGCCCUUGCCAGGGAAGUGUCGCUUCGGGUGUGUCCUACGGACGUGUGGGAGGUGGCAGGCGCCAGCCUCCGAGCAGUGUGGUGGUUUAUAUUCAUGUUUGUGGAAAAAUCUUGCAAGACAUUUCUCCUUUCACAGAGCCGCCCAGGUGUUAACAGGGCUGUCUGGACGGGGCUCUUUUGCUUCCCCCUCAAUCUGGGGUCUAGAGUUGUGCAGGGAAUUCAGCUCCAGUAAGGCCCGGAUUGCCCGGGGUGAGCGUGUGUGUGGUGGGAAGACCUGGCUUCCGCGAGAGCCUUGUUCCUGGAGGCAGGAACGCCCCGCCAUCCUGGGUACCCGCGGGUCCGCAGGCUGCGCACCUCCUUCCCUCAGCCAGGUCACCCUCAGCGUCCUCCCUGCCCCUCUCCCCUUCACACCUGCUGGAGCCUGUGAGGGAGGUGGCGGGGCCCCACUGUGGCGACGGAGACCUGACAGUAGCCCAGGGCUUUCCACCUGCAUGGAACAAGGGCCUGUCUGCCGCCAGCGCUGUGGCCACAGCCUGCAUAGGUGACAAGGGGCCGCUGCGUUGGGUUUUGCCCGCAUCUUCUGUUCCAUGGGUGCCCAGCCAGCCAGGCCGUGUGGGAUCCAGCGAGAGGCCAGGGCUUGGAGUGGGCCUGGGACCAGGAAGGACCUCUAGGCUGUGGCUGGCCUUGUGCAGACCCUGGACUGCAUCCGGUUCCCCAAAGCCCUGCUGCAUUCGAGUGUCCCCCAACCCCGGGCAGGUGGCACCUGGUGACACCUCCUUCAGUCCCACUCAGCUGGGCGGCUGGGGCAGGCUUAGGGCACAGUUAGGGGCCAAGGAGAGGGAAGGCCAGGGCCCCUGUUCUAGGGGUUAGGGUUCUUUCCCCAAAGGAACUUAAAAAGACAAGCGUGGCCAGGCACAGUGGCUCACACCUGUAAUCCCAGCACUUUGGGAGGCCGAGGUGGCCGGAUCACCUGAGGUCAGGAGUUUGAGACCAGACUGACCAACAUGGAGAAACCCCAUCUCUACUAAAAUACAAAAUUAGCCAGGCAUGGUGGCACAUGCCUGUAAUCCCAGCUACUUGGGAGGCUAAGGCAGGAGAAUUGCUUGAACCUGGGAGGCAGAGGUUGUGGUGAGCUAAGAUCGCGCCAUUGCACUCUAGCCUGGGCAACGAGAGGGAAACUCUGUUUCAAAAAAAAAAAAAAAAAAA
RNAcentral lists this small RNA (3099 nucleotides) under Pan troglodytes (chimpanzee). RNAcentral's name for it is "retained intron". Lineage: Eukaryota; Metazoa; Chordata; Mammalia; Primates; Hominidae. The record is from RNAcentral.